Molecule: long non-coding RNA, 430 nt
Organism: Equus quagga
Lineage: Eukaryota; Metazoa; Chordata; Mammalia; Perissodactyla; Equidae
Exons: 3
Source: RefSeq, a predicted model, not a curated record
AGCCUUCAGUCACUCGCCCAGGGUCUCAGGGCCGUUUCAUAGCUGAGCCGGCAUCUGGAGGGAGAAUCCUGAGACCAGAGUCCGAGCUGAGUUAGCAAAGGGCCCCAGUUCCCAGGUCCCUCCGCUGUUGCUACCAGGGACCCUUAUCGGCUAAGGAUGAGUUUGGCUGCCUAAACAAUGAAGAGGUGUCCAGGCAGGCAUUAUCAGACGACCAGAGCGCUUUCUGCAAGUUCAUGUUCAUAGCGUUUUUCUGAUGCCACCGUCCUGCAGGGAGCAGGGAAGGAGUCAGCACAGAUCACCCACAGGACCUCUGGAGUGCCCAGGCUCCAGCGGUGACCCACCCCAGGGGCCCCCUCUGCUGCUCUGGUUUGUCUCUGGACCUCGGGGCCGGCACACCCUGCCCAGGGAGGGGAGCCCCCGCCUCCCAUGC